AAGUCGUAACAAGGUUUCCGUAGGUACGUUAAGCCAAUCUUUCUUACUUCGUCUACCCUUUUUUUGUCUUCAGUUAACUAAUGUCUUUAUAGGUGAACCUGCGGAAGGAUCAUUAAUGGGUUACCGGACUUCGGUCCGACCUCCAACCCUGUGUUUAACUACCAUGUUGCUUUGGCGGGCCCGCCUUUAACCGGGCCGCCGGGGGCCCUUGGGCCUCGGGUCAGUGCUCGCCAGUAGCCUAUUUAAAUUCUUUUAAUCAUGUCGUCUGAGUUAUACAGUUAAAUCGUUAAAACUUUCAACAACGGAUCUCUUGGUUCUG
This 319-nucleotide unclassified non-coding RNA is filed under the name air metagenome. Its description in RNAcentral is "partial contains small subunit ribosomal RNA, internal transcribed spacer 1, and 5.8S ribosomal RNA". The record is from RNAcentral.